GUCGGCUCAUCACAUCCUGGGGCUGAAGUAGGUCCCAAGGGUAUGGCUGUUCGCCAUUUAAAGUGGUACGCGAGCUGGGUUUAGAACGUCGUGAGACAGUUCGGUCCCUAUCUGCCGUGGGCGCUGGAGAACUGAGGGGGGCUGCUCCUAGUACGAGAGGACCGGAGUGGACGCAUCACUGGUGUUCGGGUUGUCAUGCCAAUGGCACUGCCCGGUAGCUAAAUGCGGAAGAGAUAAGUGCUGAAAGCAUCUAAGCACGAAACUUGCCCCGAGAUGAGUUCUCCCUGAGACUUUAGGUCUCCUGAAGGAACGUUGAAGACGACGACGUUGAUAGGCCGGGUGUGUAAGCGCAGCGAUGCGUUGAGCUAACCGGUACUAAUGAACCGUGAGGCUUAACCUUAC
This 402-nucleotide ribosomal RNA is filed under the name Salmonella enterica subsp. enterica serovar Montevideo str. 531954. RNAcentral's name for it is "bacterial LSU rRNA". It matches the Rfam family "Bacterial large subunit ribosomal RNA", at positions 2531 to 2925 of the family's 2925-position model. The record is from RNAcentral. Lineage: Bacteria; Pseudomonadati; Pseudomonadota; Gammaproteobacteria; Enterobacterales; Enterobacteriaceae.